Molecule: ribosomal RNA, 128 nt
Filed under: Rhizobium sp. Hc200
Lineage: Bacteria; Pseudomonadati; Pseudomonadota; Alphaproteobacteria; Hyphomicrobiales; Rhizobiaceae
Description: partial 23S ribosomal RNA
Rfam family: Bacterial large subunit ribosomal RNA
Source: RNAcentral
GGUCAAGCGAAUAAGCGCACACGGUGGAUGCCUUGGCGGUCAGAGGCGAUGAAGGACGUGGCAGCCUGCGAAAAGUAUCGGGAGCUGGCAACAAUCUUUGAUGCGGUAAUGUCCAAGUGGGGAAAACC